GAGGUAACGGCUCACCAAGGCAUCGACGGGUAGCUGGUCUGAGAGGAUGAUCAGCCACACUGGGACUGAGACACGGCCCAGACUCCUACGGGAGGCAGCAGUAGGGAAUCUUGCGCAAUGGGCGAAAGCCUGACGCAGCAACGCCGCGUGGGGGAUGACGGCCUUCGGGUUGUAAACCCCUUUCAGCAGGGACGAAAAUGACGGUACCUGCAGAAGAAGCUCCGGCCAACUACGUGCCAGCAGCCGCGGUAAUACGUAGGGAGCAAGCGUUGUCCGGAAUUAUUGGGCGUAAAGGGCUCGUAGGCGGUUCGGUAAGUCGGGUGUGAAAAUCCAGGGCUCAACCCUGGGACGCCACCCGAUACUGCUGUGACUAGAGUCCGGUAGAGGAGCGUGGAAUUCCUGGUGUAGCGGUGAAAUGCGCAGAUAUCAGGAGGAACACCAGCGGCGAAGGCGGCGCUCUGGGCCGGUACUGACGCUGAGGAGCGAAAGCAUGGGGAGCAAACAGGAUUAGAUACCCUGGUAGUCCAUGCCGUAAACGUUGGGCACUAG
This 549-nucleotide ribosomal RNA is filed under the name uncultured Actinomycetes bacterium. RNAcentral describes it as "bacterial SSU rRNA". It matches the Rfam family "Bacterial small subunit ribosomal RNA", at positions 254 to 819 of the family's 1533-position model. Lineage: Bacteria; Bacillati; Actinomycetota; Actinomycetes. The record is from RNAcentral.